CUUGUGAUUUUACUGGUCAUAUAUCAUGCUCAAUUAUUUUAGAGAGUAAGAUUAAAAACCAUACUUAAUCCAUCUUCUUGCUUAACCAAUUCCUCAUGUGUAGAAGAAAUUAAUUUGGUUGUUAGAAUCAAAGAUUUUGCUAUCAUGUGUACUUCACUUCUCAAAAUGUAAAUGGUAAAAGUGAAUGCUCCAUGCUUGUUAAAUCUCAUUGUACUUAAUUAUCCUUAAUUAUAUUCUAACAAUUGAAUUUGACUGAAGUACUACUCUACCUUAAUGGAAAUGGAUUUCCUGUUGUUACAGCAGGACGCUGUAACAGCUAGGGACUGUCCGAUCAUAAUCGUGUGACUGUGAUCGUUUUGAGUAAUUUUGUAAAUGAAUUGUUCGAAUCCGUCCGAUCUGAUAAUGGAUGACUGAGAUGUAAAACAACGUGAAAACUGUGUGAUUCCCAACAACAGGGAAUCCAGAUCCUACCUUAAUAUGCCAAACAAUAUUUAUCAGCAUCCAUCAUUAGCAACAAGAUGUGACUUUAACCAUGUCAUGUGUCACGUGAUCCACACCUACCUUUUCUCUUUGAAUAUUAUUCCAUUCAAGCACCUUGACUUUGAGGCAUGCAUAAUGUCAUUUCUCCAAUUCCA
RNAcentral lists this long non-coding RNA (635 nucleotides) under Trifolium pratense (red clover). RNAcentral's name for it is "long non-coding RNA (TPRA_LNC012292)". Lineage: Eukaryota; Viridiplantae; Streptophyta; Magnoliopsida; Fabales; Fabaceae. The record is from RNAcentral.